This is a long non-coding RNA of Triticum dicoccoides, 2929 nucleotides long. RefSeq lists it as uncharacterized. The transcript has 3 exons. NCBI's taxonomy places the organism in Eukaryota, Viridiplantae, Streptophyta, Magnoliopsida, Poales, Poaceae. The record is from RefSeq and is a predicted model, not a curated record.
CGCCGCGCUCCGCCACCGCCUACCGUCGUCGUUCUCCUCCACCACCUACCCUGUCGGCGCGCCUACCCCCACCCAAGCGCCCCCACACCCGCGGCCUUCCACCACCAGCGACCCAACGACGGCCUUCCACCGCCGGCAACUCUCGACGCUGCGGUGAUGGAUCCCCCGUCCCUGCUACCAUGGCGCCGUCAGGACUCCUCCCCGCUGCUUCCACAUCGACAAUGGUUUCCUCAACCCCAACGGCUUCACCACCAGCCACUCCUUCCCGGCGCACUCGGCCCGCCGUCGGACCCAUCCGCUUGGCUCCCGCGGCGAGAGAUCUGAUCGACAGAGAGACCAAGGGGGAGUGUUGGCGCAGAGGUCAGGCGUCACAGACAAACAAGUCGCUCGCUAGAGGUGGUCUAUGGUGUCGACACUCCGAUGGACAGAGCCGACGUGUGCGCUGGACAGAGUCGUCAUACACACAUCUAAUCCCACUGAUGAACCUGGCUGUGGGUUAGCUUCUGUCGGGAAGGUGACAAAGGAGAGAUAAAAGAAGCUUGUGGGGGGCGGCCUGAUGGACAGGAAACGAGAGGGUGACGCUGGCCUGAAGAUGAAGAAGGGACGAGAGCAUGGCCACGGUGCAAAUUCCUCUAUAUCUUUCCAUGGCUGUUUUAGAGCAUGGCCAUGGUGCAACAUCAGCUGUCUCCCUGGUCGAAGCAGAUGCUUGGGGUGAGGCCAACUUAUGAAUUGACCGAGACGUCUUUACCUUGCAUUGCAAUGUCUUAAUCUUGCAUCUUUUAUCAAGCUUGCAUUAGAGUAAAUUCAUACUAUGAUGGGGGGAUUAUGAAUCAGUUGACACCCACGAAUUAAUGUGAUACAUCUAUGGGCCUGGCGCCAGAAUUUAGCACUGGAAUUUAUCGUUCCUUGAUGGCAUCUGCAACUCACCACAACUGUGUUAAGCAGUACCUGAGGUGCCCGGAUUUUACUUGCCUGCUAUAAGAAGGAAGGGUUCUCGGCCGGAAUCUCCAUCGGGUUGCCUCUUUGGACCAUAAUCUCCAUCAAAUCCCGACGAAAAUUCCGUGAAACGUACAAUGUCGUCGUCGAUUUCGCCGGAGGAACAAAACAUCUGUCGAGCCGUCCAAUGUCGCCCUCGACGGCUACAACAGAUGUUCAGAGUUCACUGCUAUGAAAGAAGAAGGCAUAGAUUUGCCUCGUGGAAUUGCCAGUAGAAUCGCAGUGAGAACGAGUAAAAAUCUACGACAAGCAAUACAUUAUUUUGAAGCUACAUGAAAAGCAAAGUUGUAUCUCGUUCGUGAGAAGAUCAGAAAUUGAUUGAGCAUGAUGUGUCACCUUAUUUCAUUGUGUGUAAGCUCUACUCUACCUAAUGGUUACCUGGUCUAUGUGAUCUCAAGAGCCCAGCCAAGAUCAUGCUUACAUAGUCUAUGUGAUUUUUCAAGUGUGGCAUCAAAUGAGCCUUCCAUUUGUGAUUUUUCAAGUUUGGGCAGAGUUAUGAACCCUUUGCCAGAGGUCUCAUCCCUAGAUUGAUGUAGGAUCAAGAUGAUGGCAUCAGGGUUCCCAUGACCAUGUUCACCACAUUUGAGCUCCUCAAGCACGCCCCAAGCCCUCGUAAGCUUCUCAUAUCUUUGGUCCCUUUAGCUGUUGCAAAUUUGCCUUCAGUUUACAAUGCCAGAAGAACACUAACCCUGUCUACCAUCAAGUCAUUAUUGUUAUGGACACAAGAAAGUAUUCGUAUUUUCAUAGGUAGUAUCUGAGCAUUAUUGUCUUGUGACACUGGCCAAGCAUAAACUGACAUAGCGACAUCUUUCAGCAAUUUCCCAUAUAGUUCAAGUAGUGUGUUUGAACAUUGUAUUUUUUUUAAAGAAACCGAGUCACACACAAAAGGGCCAGAUUUUCUGGCACAUAGUCCACGAUUUGUACAAAUAACCACCUGUAAUUCUUAAUUUAGUUGCUAUUGCAAAAGACGGUUGCUUUCGAACCUUCCAUCUCAAGAAACUAGAAUUAGUACGAAUGUGCUUUUCCCUGACUCCCACAUCAGGCUGUUGCUCUAAUGUUUCUUCCAGGUUGAGAAUGGCAAGAAGACGCUUAUUCUCCAUUGUACAAAGACUAGCAUAGUUUUGAACUCUGUGCUGUCAGAUCUUUUUCACCUGAAGCAUGAUCAUCUGUGAAGUACGCCAAGAAUUACGACAACAUCAGGCCAUUUGAGAGUGGGGGUUAAACUUCCCUGGAGUUCUUCUCCCUUAAAUCUUAUUGCAGCCUCUUUAUUCACAUCUCCUAUGUGUAGUUGGUGACAACGAGGAAUUGUUAUCCACUUGAGAAAAUAAAGGUUAAAUCGAUGAUGCUCUCAAAAGUAAAAUGACUUUCUGACCUGGACAGCGACUUUGUGAGCACCAAUAUAGAACUUAUAAACCUUUCUCCAUGUUUGUUAUCAUGAUCUUUUCAUUUUCCUUUUGUAUAUUAAACUUGAGAAUAUUAUUCUGCUUUACUUCAACCAUUACUUUUUUAUGUGUUUGCAGUAUGACUGUCUGGUUCUCACUCAAAGUAGAGGCCCAACAAACUUUUUGGAGUCGAAAACUACAAAUCCAUCUAUUCCUAGAAUGGAGCUGGUUGGAGUUGAGCCUAUAAUUGAGCGGGUAGUUCGUUGGCACCGACAUCCAGCUGAAAGUUUAGAGGAGGGUUAGUAAAGCAAAUUUGUUCAUGAGGAAAUGUACCAGUAAAACAUUGAGUCAGAGUGCAAGUCAAAUGCUCUUAACAAAAAAAAAUUGUCGCUUUUUUUAAUUACAAUUCUUAUUAUUUUUAGUUGGUAUUGAUAUACAAAAGAAAAUCCUGUGGCUUUUUUUGCCCUCUCAUUGACCAUUGUAUUUUCAAGUCAUAUCAGUCUAUGUAAAAGAAUUCAGUACCUUAAUGUUUUGUAUAUUUGGAAAUGUUU